CAACCAGGGAAUCUGCCUAGCAACAAGGGUGAGAGGCAGCGCCUGCCGGGAUUGUUUGGAAUGGCUGACGAAUAGGCAGCCGAGAAGACUUUUCUGGAUUUUGUCAAGCUGAGGUCUCAAGCCAAGAGGAGAAGGGUGAUCUCGGGGGAUCAAAAAAGACGUGGGAGGCAGGGCAGACACAAAGUCAGCAUAUUGGAGACUUUACAGACCCAAACUAGAAAAAGCCUCCUGCCUUUCCCACAGUGUGCUUAGCAAAGAGGUGGCCUUCCCACUGCCACCAGGAGGAAGCUGACACCCCAGAGUGGACACAGAGGAAGAGUCCCCACCUCCUCUGUGCUCUGGUUUGCGAGGGCACAUACAACAGGACACAUGUUCACACGUGCUGCUGACCUGGAAUUGUUCAACUCAGAAAACCACGGAUCCUUGGAAAGGAUGGAGACCCACAUUCCUCACAAUGAGCCCACGGGCAGCUUCGCGGCUUUCCAAACAGUCUGACACUAAGAACUCGAGACUGGUCUGGCUUCAAUCCUUUGCCCAUUUCUCUCCUUUCUAUCCAUCACAGGACAAGGGCCUGGGCGCGCCCCUCUGUGAACCCUCAAGACCCUCCCCUGAAGAGAAGAAAAAUUGUCUUCCGCCUUUGACCUGAUUAAUAAUUAAAACCGCUGAGUUUGAACUGCCCCUAACGGUGAGGUGCUCCAAAACCCCAGAAAACUUUAACAAAUAGCCAGCCUGCUGCGGGGAGAGGAAGCUCUUUUCACUAGACGAACUGACAAUUAGCCGCUAUUCAAAAUCCCCCUCCAGUCUUAGCAUAUUGGUUCUCCUUUGAAAGUGGCUCGGCAUGGGGUAGAAUUUUUGGCCUUGAGUUGGGAACUACUGUGCAUAAAAUCAAAGAAUGGAAGCCAGCAGUUGAGAGAAUAGAGGCUAUUUGGGGAUUAGUGAUUUCAGGAGUUAGACUUCUAAUAACUUGGUGAGUGGUGGGUUAGGAAUGUCCUCAGGAGCAUCAGGCAGUCAACUCGGUGGGACAUGUCCUCACAUUGAACUGGAAAGCGUGAGUCACUCACUACCCCAGAGAUCAGAAAUACAAAAUGGCAGGAAAUAACUGCAACUCGGCAGCGCCACAUGGCAUGCGGCAUUUUAGAACUGCUGCAGGCUACAUCUCACGCUUGCAGUCUUGGGGUUACAUGUGAGACCCCAAGUAGGGCUCCAAGUUUUCUCCCCAAAGAGCCACAAAUAUAGACCACCACCCCAUUAGGGAACACACUGAUGGAAAACAAGGAGUGGAUGAGAUAGGAGAAGGGAGAAGGAGGGAGCAGGCAUCCAAACUGCUCAUUUUCCCCUAGGAAGCAUAAGGCCCAGCCACCACGGUGGGUGAGCAAAGCAAAUUGGUAAUGGGUGAUCCAGAUUGCAUCUCGGAGUCUUGCCUGCUUUCCAGGCACUUACUGAACUUUUAUAACUCUUUUGGGGGUAAGGCAGGAAAACCUGUGGUUUCUUAUUGACCAGUUGGGGAGAGGGAGUCGAAGCUGGCUGGCCCAAGUCUGUUGCUUCUGUACAAGCCGUACUGUAGCCCACCCAGAGAUGCUUCUAAAUAAAUUUACUAAGGGAGGAGAGGCUAGAAAAUUAUCAUGUGAUCAUCGGCUGCAGCAGCUUCAAGGUUGCAAAAGCCCAGCCUGGAAAGUCCUAGAAAGUCAUUUUUCCAGAGAAGGAAAGCAUAAGCCAGAGAUCCACACAGACCACUCAUCCUCAACACCCUUUGUGAUGUAAAUGUCAACACUCAUUUCUACUGAAUAUAUAUCCAAGAGUGGAACCACAAGGCCACUUAUCAUAAACGAAGUAGCUUGGCCUUCAAGAGAAAGGGGGCCAUGUCUGUCUGUUGUUUUACCCUGUGAGACUGUCACGAGCUUUUACUGUUUUACCAGUAACUGAUUUACUACUAAUCACCAUGGAAACAGAGGUAGAAAAUGUGAAGAACACAACCCAGGAAGCCACAGAGAGUAAAGAAUUUUCCAGGUGAUACAAGGUUUGGUCCUGAGGUCUGGCUCCUGCUCCUUUCCAACAUGACUUCUGGAAGGCCUCCGUGGAUACCACCCCUCUCGUGUCCCAGAGCCCCAUGUUCCUCCCCAUUUUCUCUCUGCUUGGGUGGCCUUGGGGAAGAUCCAUUACUUCUGGGGGUUUCAGUUCUUCUAGGCCUCUCAUUUACUGG
Peromyscus eremicus (cactus mouse) is the source of this 2200-nucleotide long non-coding RNA. RefSeq lists it as uncharacterized. The transcript is spliced from 3 exons. NCBI's taxonomy places the organism in Eukaryota, Metazoa, Chordata, Mammalia, Rodentia, Cricetidae. The record is from RefSeq and is a predicted model, not a curated record.